GAUGAACGCUGGCGGCGUGCCUAAUACAUGCAAGUCGAGCGAAGCGGGGACGGGUGAGUAACACGUGGAUAACCUCCUAUAAGACUGGGAUAACUUCGGGAAACUGGAGCUAAACCGGAUAAUUAGAGAUGGAUCCGCGCUGCAUUAGCUAGUUGGUAAGGUAACGGCUUACAAAGGCAACGAUGCAUAGCCGACCUGAGAGGGUGAUCGGCCACCCUGGAACUGCGACACGGUCCCGACCCCUACGGGAGGCCGCAGUAGGGAAUCUUCCGCAAUGGGCGAAAGCCUGACGGAGCAACGCCGCGUGAGUGAUGCAGGUCUUCGGAUCGUAAAACUCUGUUAUUAGGGAAGCGGUACCUAAUCAGAACGCCUCGGCUAACUACGUGCCAGCCGCCGCGGUAAUUC
This 405-nucleotide ribosomal RNA is filed under the name uncultured bacterium. Its description in RNAcentral is "partial 16S ribosomal RNA". It matches the Rfam family "Bacterial small subunit ribosomal RNA", at positions 28 to 526 of the family's 1533-position model. The record is from RNAcentral.